RNAcentral lists this unclassified non-coding RNA (338 nucleotides) under soil metagenome. Its description in RNAcentral is "partial contains 5.8S ribosomal RNA, internal transcribed spacer 2, and large subunit ribosomal RNA". The stretch from base 1 to 120 matches the Rfam family "5.8S ribosomal RNA", at positions 35 to 154 of the family's 154-position model. The record is from RNAcentral.
GAUGAAGAACGCAGCGAAAUGCGAUACGAAGUGUGAAUUGCAGAAUUCAGUGAAUCAUCGAAUCUUUGAACGCACAUUGCGCCCUUUGGUAUUCCAAAGGGCAUGCCUGUUCGAGCGUCAUUUGUACCCUCAAGCUUUGCUUGGUGUUGGGCGUCUUGUCUCCAGUCCGCUGGAGACUCGCCUUAAAGUCAUUGGCAGCCGGCCUACUGGUUUCGGAGCGCAGCACAAGUCGCACUCUUUUCCAGCCAAGGUCAGUGUCCAACAAGCCUUUUUUCAACUUUUGACCUCGGAUCAGGUAGGGAUACCCGCUGAACUUAAGCAUAUCAAUAAGCGGAGGA